This 497-nucleotide ribosomal RNA is filed under the name uncultured bacterium. Its description in RNAcentral is "partial 16S ribosomal RNA". It matches the Rfam family "Bacterial small subunit ribosomal RNA", at positions 28 to 507 of the family's 1533-position model. The record is from RNAcentral.
GAUGAACGCUGGCGGCGUGCCUAAUACAUGCAAGUCGAGCGAACAGACGAGGAGCUUGCUCCUCUGACGUUAGCGGCGGACGGGUGAGUAACACGUGGAUAACCUACCUAUAAGACUGGGAUAACUUCGGGAAACCGGAGCUAAUACCGGAUAAUAUAUUGAACCGCAUGGUUCAAUAGUUAAAGACGGUUUUGCUGUCACUUAUAGAUGGAUCCGCGCCGCAUUAGCUAGUUGGUAAGGUAACGGCUUACCAAGGCAACGAUGCGUAGCCGACCUGAGAGGGUGAUCGGCCACACUAGGACUGAGACACGGUCCAGACUCCUACGGGAGGCAGCAGUAGGGAAUCGUCGGCAAUGGGCGAAAGCCUGACGGAGCAACGCAGCGUGAGUGAUGAAGGUCUUCGGAUCGUAAAACUCUGUUAUUAGGGAAGAACAAAUGUGUAAGUAACUAUGCACGUCUUGACGGUACCUAAUCAGAAAGCCACGGCUAACUACGUG